This 805-nucleotide ribosomal RNA is filed under the name uncultured bacterium. Its description in RNAcentral is "bacterial SSU rRNA". It matches the Rfam family "Bacterial small subunit ribosomal RNA", at positions 8 to 794 of the family's 1533-position model. The record is from RNAcentral.
AGAGUUUGAUCAUGGCUCAGGAUGAACGCUGGCGGCAUGCCUAAUACAUGCAAGUCGUACGCAAUCACUUUUUUCGCUCGCAGCCGUGGAAUGCAAGUUCCACCAUUGCGAGCGGAAGCAAUGAGUGAUUGAGUGGCGGACGGGUGAGUAACACGUUGGUACCUGCCCCGAAGUGGGGAAUAACUGCUCGAAAGGGUAGCUAAUACCCCAUAGUCUACGGUUUAUCCGUAGUAAAGAUUUAUCGCUUCGGGAGGGGCCUGCGUCUGAUUAGCUAGUUGGUUGAGGUAAUGGCUCACCAAGGCGAUGAUCAGUAGCUGGAUCGAGAGGUUGACCAGCCACACUGGGACUGAGAUACGGCCCAGACUCCCACGGGAGGCAGCAGUAAGGAAUCUUCCACAAUGGGCGAAAGCCUGAUGGAGCAAUGCCGCGUGCAGGAAGACGCUUUUCGGAGUGUAAACUGCUUUUCUGAAGGAAGAUUAUGACGGUACUUCAGGAAUAAGGAUCGGCUAACUACGUGCCAGCAGCCGCGGUAAUACGUAGGAUCCAAGCGUUAUCCGGAAUUACUGGGCGUAAAGCGUGCGCAGACGGUUUGAUAGGUCGAUUGCGAAAUCCCGUGGCUCAACCAUGUGGACUGUAAUCGAAACCAUCUGACUAGAGGUAGGUAGAGGCAAGUGGAAUUUCUGGUGUAGGGGUGACAUCCGUAGAUAUCAGAAGGAACACCAAUGGCGAAGGCAGCUUGCUGGGCCUUACCUGACGUUCAGGCACGAAAGCGUGGGGAGCAAACAGGAUUAGAUACCCCGGUAGU